This 465-nucleotide ribosomal RNA is filed under the name Vreelandella stevensii. RNAcentral describes it as "partial 16S ribosomal RNA". It matches the Rfam family "Bacterial small subunit ribosomal RNA", at positions 338 to 795 of the family's 1533-position model. Lineage: Bacteria; Pseudomonadati; Pseudomonadota; Gammaproteobacteria; Oceanospirillales; Halomonadaceae. The record is from RNAcentral.
CCUACGGGAGGCAGCAGUGGGGAAUAUUGGACAAUGGGCGAAAGCCUGAUCCAGCCAUGCCGCGUGUGUGAAGAAGGCCUUCGGGUUGUAAAGCACUUUCAGUGGGGAAGAAAGCCUUGGGGCUAAUACCCUCGAGGAAGGACAUCACCCACAGAAGAAGCACCGGCUAACUCCGUGCCAGCAGCCGCGGUAAUACGGAGGGUGCGAGCGUUAAUCGGAAUUACUGGGCGUAAAGCGCGCGUAGGCGGUCUGAUAAGCCGGUUGUGAAAGCCCCGGGCUCAACCUGGGAACGGCAUCCGGAACUGUCAGGCUAGAGUGCAGGAGAGGAAGGUAGAAUUCCCGGUGUAGCGGUGAAAUGCGUAGAGAUCGGGAGGAAUACCAGUGGCGAAGGCGGCCUUCUGGACUGACACUGACGCUGAGGUGCGAAAGCGUGGGUAGCAAACAGGAUUAGAUACCAGAGUAGUC